This 33-nucleotide transfer RNA is filed under the name Sphaeriusidae sp. BMNH 703456. Its description in RNAcentral is "partial tRNA-Tyr". The record is from RNAcentral. Lineage: Eukaryota; Metazoa; Arthropoda; Insecta; Coleoptera; Sphaeriusidae.
UGGCUGAAUUAGGCAAUAAAUUGUAAAUUUAUU